This 253-nucleotide ribosomal RNA is filed under the name uncultured bacterium. RNAcentral's name for it is "partial 16S ribosomal RNA". It matches the Rfam family "Bacterial small subunit ribosomal RNA", at positions 524 to 776 of the family's 1533-position model. The record is from RNAcentral.
UACGUAGGGUGCGAGCGUUGUCCGGAAUUAUUGGGCGUAAAGAGCUCGUAGGCGGCUUGUCGCGUCGAAUGUGAAAUCCUGCGGCUCAACUGCAGGCUUGCAUUCGAUACGGGCAGGCUCGAGUUCGGUAGGGGAGACUGGAAUUCCUGGUGUAGCGGUGAAAUGCGCAGAUAUCAGGAGGAACACCGGUGGCGAAGGCGGGUCUCUGGGCCGAUACUGACGCUGAGGAGCGAAAGCGUGGGGAGCGAACAGG